RNAcentral lists this ribosomal RNA (1426 nucleotides) under metagenome. RNAcentral describes it as "bacterial SSU rRNA". It matches the Rfam family "Bacterial small subunit ribosomal RNA". The record is from RNAcentral.
AGAGUUUGAUCCUGGCUCAGAACGAACGUUCGCGGCGCGCUUAACACAUGUAAGUCGAACGAGAAAGUCCUUUGGGGCGAGUAAAGUGGCGCAUGGGUGAGUAACACGUGGGUAUUUAUUUAUUGGUGGGGGAUAACAUUCCGAAAGGGGUGUUAAUACCGUAUAAGUUUAGUAAUGGGGAAAGGUGGUGUAAGUUAUUGCCAGUAGAUGAGCCCGCGUCCCAUCAGCUAGUUGGUAGGGUAAAGGUUUACCAAGGCAUUGAUGGGUAGCUGGUCUGAGAGGAUGAUCAGCCACACUGGAAUUGAGAUAUGGUCCAGACUCCUACGGGAGGUAGCAGUGGGGAAUAUUGCGUAAUGGGCGAAAGCCUGACGCAGCGACGCCGCGUGGGUGAUGAAGGUUUUCGGAUUGUAAAGCCCUGUGGGAGAGGAAAGAAUAACUUGUGGGAAUAAUAUCCCAUAAGUUUGAUGGUAUUUCUCCAGAAAGCACCGGCUAACUCCGUGCCAGUAGUUGUGGUAAUACGGAGGGUGCGAACGUUGUUCGGAAUCACUGGGCGUAAAGUGCAUGUGGGCGGCACGGCAAGUCAGAUGUGAAAGUUUUUGGUUUAACCGGGGAAGUGUAUUUGAAACUGCCGAGCUAGAGUACGGGAGAGGGUUGUAGAAUUUUUGGUGUAGAGGUGAAAUUUGUAGAUAUUGGGAGGAAUAUUAGUGGUGAAGGUGGUAAUCUGGAUCGAUACUGACGCUGAGAUGCGAAAGCGUGGGGAGUAAAUAGGAUUAGAUAUCCUGGUAGUCCACGCCGUAAACGAUGAACACUAGGUGCAGCGGGUAUUGAUUCCUGCUGUGCCGUAGCUAAUGCAUUAAGUGUUCCGCCUGGGGAGUACGGCCGCAAGGCUAAAACUCAAAGGAAUUGACGGGGGCUCGUACAAGCGGUGGAGCAUGUGGUUUAAUUCGAAGCAACGUGUAGAAUUUUAUUUGGGUUGGAAGUUAUUGGAAUAUUUUAGAAAAGGAGUAGUGUUUUUCGGGGAGCCGGUGUUUAGGUGUUGUAUGGUUGUCGUCAGCUCGUGUUGUGAGAUGUUGGGUUAAGUUUUGUAAUGAGUGUAAUUUUUGUUGUUAGUUGUUAUUAUUAAGUUGGGUAUUUUAGUGAGACUGCCGGUGUUAAACCGGAGGAAGGUGGGGAUGACGUCAAGUCCUCAUGGCCCUUAUGUUUAGGGCUACACAUUUUAUAAUGGCGUAUAUAAAGAGUAGUUAAUUUGUGAGAGUAUGUGAAUUUUAAAAAGUAUGUUUCAGUAUGGAUUGGAGUUUGUAAUUUGACUCCAUGAAGGCGGAAUUGUUAGUAAUUGUGGAUUAGCACGCCACGGUGAAUACGUUCCCGGGCCUUGUACACACCGCCCGUCACACCAUGGGAGUUGACUACUCCAGAAGUUGUUGAG